Molecule: ribosomal RNA, 253 nt
Filed under: uncultured bacterium
Lineage: Bacteria
Description: partial 16S ribosomal RNA
Rfam family: Bacterial small subunit ribosomal RNA
Source: RNAcentral
GACGAACCGUGCGAACGUUGUUCGGAAUCACUGGGCUUAAAGGGCGCGUAGGCGGGUUGCCAAGUCCGGGGUGAAAGCCCCCAGCUCAACUGGGGAAGGGCCUUGGAUACUGGUGAUCUCGAGGGAGGUAGGGGCAUGCGGAACUUCCGGUGGAGCGGUGAAAUGCGUAGAUAUCGGAAGGAACGCCGGUGGCGAAAGCGGCGUGCUGGACCUCUUCUGACGCUGAGGCGCGAAAGCGUGGGGAGCAAACAGG